CUACGUGCCAGCAGCCGCGGUAAUACGGAGGGUGCGAGCGUUAAUCGGAAUAACUGGGCGUAAAGGGCACGCAGGCGGUGACUUAAGUGAGAUGUGAAAGCCCCGGGCUUAACCUGGGAAUUGCAUUUCAUACUGGGUCGCUAGAGUACUUUAGGGAGGGGUAGAAUUCCACGUGUAGCGGUGAAAUGCGUAGAGAUGUGGAGGAAUACCGAAGGCGAAGGCAGCCCCUUGGGAAUGUACUGACGCUCAUGUGCGAAAGCGUGGGGAGCAAACAGGAUUAGAUACCCUGGUAGUCCACGCUGUAAACGAUGUCGAUUUGGGGGUUGAGCUUUGAGCUUGGCGCCCGUAGCUAACGUGAUAAAUCGACCGCCUGGGGAGUACGGCCGCAAGGUUAAAACUCAAAUGAAUUGACGGGGGCCCGCACAAGCGGUGGAGCAUGUGGUUUAAUUCGAUGCAACGCGAAGAACCUUACCUACUCUUGACAUCCAGAGAACAUUC
Molecule: ribosomal RNA, 498 nt
Filed under: uncultured bacterium
Lineage: Bacteria
Description: bacterial SSU rRNA
Rfam family: Bacterial small subunit ribosomal RNA
Source: RNAcentral